UACGGAGGAGGCAAGCGUUAUCCGGAAUUAUUGGGCGUAAAGCGUCCGCAGGUGGCACUUCAAGUCUGUCGUCAAAGACUGGGGCUUAACCCUGGAAAGGCGGUGGAAACUGAAGCGCUAGAGUGCGGUAGGGGUAGAGGGAAUUCCCGGUGUAGCGGUGAAAUGCGUAGAGAUCGGGAAGAACAUCGGUGGCGAAAGCGCUCUGCUGGACUGCAACUGACACUCAGGGACGAAAGCUAGGGGAGCGAAUGGG
RNAcentral lists this ribosomal RNA (253 nucleotides) under uncultured bacterium. Its description in RNAcentral is "partial 16S ribosomal RNA". It matches the Rfam family "Bacterial small subunit ribosomal RNA", at positions 524 to 776 of the family's 1533-position model. The record is from RNAcentral.